This 406-nucleotide ribosomal RNA is filed under the name uncultured bacterium. Its description in RNAcentral is "partial 16S ribosomal RNA". It matches the Rfam family "Bacterial small subunit ribosomal RNA", at positions 30 to 526 of the family's 1533-position model. The record is from RNAcentral.
AUUGAACGCUGGCGGCAGGCCUAACACAUGCAAGUCGAACGAGUGGCGGACGGGUGAGUAAUGUCUGGGAAACUGCCUGAUGGAGGGGGAUAACUACUGGAAACGGUAGUUAAUACCGCAUACCAUCGGAUGUGCCCAGAUGGGAUUAGCUAGUAGCUGGGUUAAAGGCUCACCUAGGCGAAGAUCCCUAGCUGGUCUGAGAGGCUGACCAGCGACACUGGAACGGAGACACGGUCCAGACUCCUACGGGAGGCAGCCGUGGGGAAUAUUGCGCAAUGGGCGCAAGCCUGAUGCAGCCACGCCGCGUGAAUGAAGAAGUCAUUCGGGUUGUAAAGUUCUUUCAGCGGGGAAGCGUUACCCACAGAAGAAGCACCGGCUAACUCCGUGCCAGCAGCCGCGGUAAUAC